Molecule: long non-coding RNA, 336 nt
Organism: Mauremys reevesii (Reeves's turtle)
Lineage: Eukaryota; Metazoa; Chordata; Testudines; Geoemydidae
Exons: 3
Source: RefSeq, a predicted model, not a curated record
AGGGAGCUGUGCUGGGAUAUAUGAGAUAGGUGUCAGCUACAGUAGCGAGUGGAGAAAAUGCUGAAGACUGCAGUACCAAGCUGAGAGAGACCAGACAGUGAAACAGGACAGUGUGAGAAGCCAAGAGGGCCCAGAAGUGGAAGAGGUCACCGAGAGCACAGGAGAGACCAGCUCCCUGCUCUUAGUUCAGGAGUCCAGACCUGACUCUGGCCCAGCAGCCUACAUCAGUCCAGAACUGCAAUUGAAGGGAAAAUCCUACUCAGCUCUGGGCUGGGGCAUGCCCAGUGUGGAUGGAAUCUUUGAGGAACUUAGCUGGUCAAAUCUAAGAAAUCUCUC